RNAcentral lists this unclassified non-coding RNA (349 nucleotides) under soil metagenome. RNAcentral describes it as "partial contains 5.8S ribosomal RNA, internal transcribed spacer 2, and large subunit ribosomal RNA". The stretch from base 1 to 121 matches the Rfam family "5.8S ribosomal RNA", at positions 35 to 154 of the family's 154-position model. The record is from RNAcentral.
GAUGAAGAACGUAGUGAAAUGCGAUAAGUAAUGCGAAUUGCAGAAUUUCCGUGAGUCAUCGAAUCUUUGAACGCACAUUGCGCCCAUUGGUAUUCCGAUGGGCAUGCCUGUUCGAGCGUCAUUAUCCCCCCUCAAACCUUCGGUUUGGUGUUGGACCGAUGUUGUGUAAUGAACAACUGGUCUCAAAGACAAUGACGGCGUCCGUGGGACCCUCGGUGCAACGAGCUUUUAGGAGCACGCGCCGAGUUGCAAGGACCUUCCGGGCCGGUCUCCUUUUACUAUUUUACAAGGUUGACCUCGGAUCAGGUAGGAAUACCCGCUGAACUUAAGCAUAUCAAUAAGCGGAGGA